Molecule: ribosomal RNA, 377 nt
Filed under: uncultured eukaryote
Lineage: Eukaryota
Description: partial 18S ribosomal RNA
Rfam family: Eukaryotic small subunit ribosomal RNA
Source: RNAcentral
CAAUAGCGUAUAUUAAAGUUGUUGCAGUUAAAAAGCUCGUAGUUGGAUUUCGGGGCAGCCUGGCUGGUCCGCCGCAAGGCGAGUACUGGUCAGCCGCCCUUCCUCUCGAAAGCCCCGACUGCUCUUUAUUGCAGUGGUCGGGUAGUUCGGGACGUUUACUUUGAAAAAAUUAGAGUGUUCAAGGCAGGCCUACGCCUGAAUACAUUAGCAUGGAAUAAUGGAAGAGGACCUCGGUCCUAUUUUGUUGGUUUCCAGGACCGAAGUAAUGAUUAAGAGGGACAGUUGGGGGCAUUCGUAUUUAAUUGUCAGAGGUGAAAUUCUCGGGUUUAUGAAAGACGAACAACUGCGAAAGCAUUUGCCAAGGAUGUUUUCAUUAA